ACCCCCAGCAAUGGGCAAAGAGAUACUUUGCUGGUGGUGUUCUUCUGUCAGUCAGGGACAGAGCAGAUGGCAGGCCUUUGUUCAUCCUAGCUUGAUGCCCGGCUUGGUGGCCCAAGCUAUCUUAUGCCUAGGACUCAUGA
This is a small nucleolar RNA of Mastomys coucha (southern multimammate mouse), 140 nucleotides long. RefSeq annotates it as small nucleolar RNA SNORA48. NCBI's taxonomy places the organism in Eukaryota, Metazoa, Chordata, Mammalia, Rodentia, Muridae. The record is from RefSeq and is a predicted model, not a curated record. The transcript has a single exon.